This is a long non-coding RNA of Drosophila biarmipes, 4532 nucleotides long. RefSeq lists it as uncharacterized. The record is from RefSeq and is a predicted model, not a curated record. NCBI's taxonomy places the organism in Eukaryota, Metazoa, Arthropoda, Insecta, Diptera, Drosophilidae. The transcript has 2 exons.
UUCACAUUAAUUACCUAAGCAUAUUAAAGAACAUCAUUUAAACUAUGUUUUAUAAAAUUUGCAUAAAAAAAGCUCCGUAGUCCCUUCCAAAAAAAUGGGUUUUGCGGUGUACAACAUAUCUUGUUACAGGGUCAUCAGAAAAUCAAAACACAAAAAUUGUUUAUUAGUUAAAAUGUGGCCAAAGAAAUCUUCGUCGAGCUCUUUUUAAAUUUUUGGAAUUUUGGUAUCACUUUGAAGUCAAAAACGUGAUUUAACCUUAAAUAUUGGAAUUGCCUAUUGUUAUUGUUAAAAAGAACUCGUCGUCAGUACCUGCUGAUUGAGGUACAAAAAACAGUGUGCCAGACUUUAAAAAGCUGGAAACUGGACGGAGCAGACCGGCCUGGUAUGCCCGUCGUAACAACGGUCAUAUCUUUUUUUUUUUCGUCCGCUUGACAAGAAAUUUUAACACAACAUUCUUGAUAUGUUUUACUUUAAUAAAAGUACAAAUUACUGAGAUAGUUACUUAACCACAAGAGUUUGAUUUUUCAAGGUGAAGUUGAUUAUAUGUGUCCCAAACGGCAUAGUGACCAAAAAUGUCAUACAUUUUUAUACCCGUUAGUCGUAGAAUAAAAGGGUAUACUACAUUCGUCGGAAAGUAUGUAACAGGUAAAAUGAAAGCGUUUCCGAUUCCAAAAAGUAUAUAUAUCCUUGAUCAGGAUCACUAGCCGAAUCGAUCUUGCCAUGUCCGUCUGUCCGUCCGUCCGUCCGUCCGUCCGUCCGCUGAACGUUGAGAUCUUGGAAACUAUAAGAGCUAGAACAGUCGAACUUGGCAUGCAGAUUCCUGGGCUUCCUGCGCAGCGGGAUGCCACGCCCACUCUAACGCCUACAACCCUCGAAAAUCUGUAGCCCCUACAAUUUUGUUGAUAGAAACAAAAUUUUAACUGAAAACGCCCACAAAUGGCCAAAACGCUUAAAUCUGUCUGCCGCAUAACAUCUACUGAAAAAGCCGGUAGGUGGCGCCCUAAAAUAUCGCUCUUCUGCUUAUAAAUCUUCAAUAUCCUUUUGCUCCCUUAAGUUGAGUAACGGGUAUCUGAUAGUCGAGGCACACGACCAUAGAGUUUUUCCUUUUUUUUAGCUGUUUUUGAGUCACUGGGGGACUUAGUGGGUACCUAGGAUCCCUAUGAAUGUGGAGUAAAUAUUUGUCUGUUUUGUUAAGAUUUGGGCUAUUGGCGCAUUCUCUUAAUUAUUUCUCGUGUCCCGCGUGUCCGUUUGUAUAAAUGUUCUAUGACCAUUCAAGGCAAAGGGUGCAUCUGUUACAGGUUUUUCAUUGCCUGCUUUGUUUUUCACCUCAUCUCGAAACAUCUCAUAUUCGCAUUGAUCUUACCUUGGAUUUUUAUGAUGUAGAUGUAUUUCUGCUUAAUUUUUUGGCAUCCUACAUUGUGAUCUGAUGCUCUGCCGUGUUCGAUGUUUCCGUCAUGGCUUUGUCUCUACCAGCUAGUCCACUAUACCACCGCAUCUAAUGCUGUUUGCCCUGCAGUUUCUCGUUUCCAAUGCCCGACGUUUUCUGUUAAGCGUUUUUUCCACGCAGAGUGUAAAGUCUUGACUUCGUUCUAUAUUUUCUACUAAGGAAUACGGCACGCGACCACGGGGUUCCGUUGCUUGAUGUGACAGUUAUGCUCUUGGUCCAUACUUCAAAGUUUAUUGCUCGACCUUUUGCCCUUGCUCUGCCUUUACAUCAACCACUUUCUUUUUUCAAAUCUUUUGCUUUCCAAACUUCCGUUCUCAAGACUUUAUUUUUUCGGUGUUUUGUUCUCUAAAUUCUAGGUCUCCUAAAAUAUGAUCAAUAUUUUUCAGUCGUCAGUCUCAGCAUAAAGCAGAGAAAUAUUGACAAGCUCGGGCUCUGGAUGAGCGAACAUAUUUUUGUUUGGCCGUCCUCUCGUUACUAGAUCAGAAACAUUUAAUAUUGUCCCAAAAUUGCAUUUAAAUACGGUUUUUAAGCUUAAGUAGGCGAUGAAAACUUUUUAGGUGGAACUAAAAAAUGUCAUUCCUGUUUCUUUAGAAUUCCUAAUCCCGUUUCGUAAUUAAAUUUCGUAAUACCCUUGUUUAUAGGUAUUAAUAUUUUAAUGAAAAACUUAUAAUAAUUUUUUUGUAUAGUAACGAAUAUAUAUUUAGUUAUUAAUAUUACAUACCUAUAUUAUUUUAUUAAUCAUGUAUUCAGUGAUAGCAAUUUUUACCGUUUUACGUUAACUAAAUUUUUGAAAACCGAAAAACUCGCAGAACUCUCUUUUGGGACGCCAAUGAUUUCAUUGGCAAAUAUCAUUAGUAAGAGCACUAUAUUACCCCUGGAUUCAAUAUAUAAUUCUUAUAAACGACGUAAAAAAUUAUCUUAAACAAUGACUUGGAAGACAUCGUGAUAUUAUCUAUUUUGGUAUUUUGAGCGAGUUAGUCGUGGUGUUGCCGGCGAAUAUAGAUGUAGUUAGACCCUCGUUUGUAGGUAUAACAAAACAGUGCAGGACAACGGCAAUUAAAGUUACUGAGGAAAUCGAUUUCACAAACCUUCAUCAUACGCAAAGUUUGCUGUUAAUCAAAAAACAAGUACUCAAGGCCAAAAUAAUAAAAACUCCGCAAGACAUAAAUCCCAAAACCAACAACAACGAUACUGAACUAUGAUCUGACGAAUUGAUCAGACGAAUUGGAACUCUCUACAUUCAUGACAGCGACACACCUCGAAUGUGAAAGUGGUGACGAAGAAAUGGAGAUCGUCCAAAUCGAUGCCUACAUCCAAAAGAUCACCAAGGAAGAUUUCUAGAGUCAGACAUAAAAAUGAAUAGUUUCUUAACUGCUUAAGGACAAAGACAAGACCAAAAAAAUGCAGUAUUAAUACUAAGAAUCUAAAACACUAGUUCUAGUUCUUAAUGUAAAAGAUUUACUCUAAAUCCUAGAUAUGGCCCUGCCUAUAAUUCAAUGGAGCUGCAAUGCAGUAAUUUGCGCCUACAAGAAACUCCAUAACAUCCCUAUACCCCCAAACAUUACAAUAAUAGAAAACAACACAGCCAACAAGUCACAUGGUAGAGUAGCAAUGCUAGUCCAUAAUGUCAUGCAAUUUGACAACAAUCAAUAUAGCUUCUCAUAAAACUUUUCAGUUUAAUAACUUGGUUAACAUGAUAGGAAACCCUAACAUGAACGCGAUUAUAACGGGGAACUUCAUUUAUUGGCAUCACGUGCAAAAAAAAUAUAUAUAUGUGAGUCUUGGGGUCAUCGGAUGAUCACUUUAUUAUCAGUAACGCAUGUAAAGGCGAGAAAAAUGUAUAGUUUUUAUGCAAUCAGUUUUAAGACUAUCGGGCUGAAACUUUCCCAAAAGUCUUCUCUCUAUUGCAGGUAGUAUAGAAGUCGGAUCGGACAACUACAUCUUAUAGCUCCCAUAGAUCGGGGGAAAAAUUAAAAAAAAUUAUAUCUUUGGUGUUAUUUGACUUAUAACCUUCUAAGAUUGGAAAUUACAUUUUUUAAUUAGUUCUGAAUUUCGUUUUAUCAAAAUUACGACUAUAUCAUAUUGUAAUAGGCUUAUCGGAUGGUCACUUUAUUACCAAUAACGCUUGUAAAAGCAAGGCAAAUGUAUAGUUGGUAAGCAAUCGGGACGAGAGACAUUCUGGUGUGAAUGCUCGAGUUAAACGGUCGUGCCAAUAAGAAAAAGGUUUUAUCUCGUAAAGUAAAGUUCUUUUUCUUCCACAAAUUCAGAAGUGGUUCAAGCCUACACCAUGGAUUAUGUAAAUGGCUUUCCGUAUUGGGACUGCCAACUCAAGGCCUUCAAACCGAAUUGAUGGCUCGUCUCGGUCGGGACCGACCGUGAACUUCAUGACGCCGAAAACAACGAUACAGAAAAUGGAGAGGAAAUGUCUUCCGAGAAUGCUCUUUAGCAACACGAGCUUCUCGCCAUAAAUCGGCAGUUUCAAGCGGAGGCUAGUGCACAUCACAAUAUGUUGCAGCAAACGCAGACACAUGGCGCCCCACAACAGCAAAAAGAACAUGCAGUUCACAAUGCAGGUGGCAACUCCGGCGGUGAGAACACUCUAACGCAUGAAAACGCAUCAGUUGGGAGCCCUGCCAAUCUGAUCGUUUCGCCGACCACAAGCGACAACACGUCGAUUGGCACCCAUGCCAGUUUUGUCGUUUCACCGACAACAACGCAUCGGUUGACAUCCCCGCUAGCCUGAACGUUUGACAAUAUCUGCCUCCUGAAACCAUUGACCGAGGGCACUGCGUGCAAUGAGCUACGCAGCAGGAACUGCAACUCCAAAGGGCAUUUUGCAAAGGAUUGCCGCAAACCAAAAAGGCCUCCAGGUUCCUGUUUCGCCUGUGGAGAAAUGGGGCAUUUCGUAAAACAAUGUCCUCAGAGAAAAGCGAAUGUCUCAUACACUCUGGGAGCGCUAUAUCUUUCAUAAGUCCCUGUUGGAGUAAACAUAAAUAAAGUUAGCAGAAUUAUGCGUAAAUUAGAGCCAACUCAACGUCAUUGGAAAAACAUUAUGCUUUGUAAUAAAGAAAGAUAUAAAGAUUAA